RNAcentral lists this microRNA precursor (195 nucleotides) under Prunus dulcis (almond). Its description in RNAcentral is "sRNA ncRNA". Lineage: Eukaryota; Viridiplantae; Streptophyta; Magnoliopsida; Rosales; Rosaceae. The record is from RNAcentral.
ACACUUCAUUCAUUUAAUUGAUGUGACAUAUGAUAUGGACAUGCCACAUCAUGUGGUAUAGAAAUAUGGGAUAAAAAUGUGGUAAAUGUAGUAUUACUCUUUUUGAAUUGAGUAAUGCUACACUUACCACAUUAUUAUCCCACAUGAUGUGGCAUAUUCAUAUCAUAUGCCACAUCAAUUAAAUGAAUGAAGUGU